GUAGUCCUAGCCGUAAACGAUGUCGACUAGAUCGCGGCGGCUCUGACGCCGUCGCGGUCGAAGUAAAAAUGUUAAGUCGACCGCCUGGGAAGUACGGUCGCAAGGCUAAAACUCAAAGGAAUUGACGGGGGCUCACACAAGCGGUGGAGCAUGUGGUUCAAUUCGAAGCAACGCGCAGAACCUUACCUGGGCUUGACAUGCUAGGAUUACCCGGAUGAAAGUUCGGUAGGCCCCGCAAGGGGUACAACUAGUACAGGUGCUGCAUGGCUGUCGUCAGCUCGUGUCGUGAGAUGUCGGGUUAAGUCCCUUAACGAGCGAAACCUUUGCCCUUAGUUACUAACAGGUAAUGCUGAGGACUCUAAGGGGACUGCCGGUGUCAAACCGGA
This 386-nucleotide ribosomal RNA is filed under the name uncultured bacterium. Its description in RNAcentral is "bacterial SSU rRNA". It matches the Rfam family "Bacterial small subunit ribosomal RNA", at positions 790 to 1167 of the family's 1533-position model. The record is from RNAcentral.